GUGGGAAAUAUUUGCGGCGGUGGCUAGAAAUUGAUGGAAACGGUUGGAAGAAACACACAAACUGGACUCUAACAAGACCUAACCAGUAACAAGACCUCGAUCAGGACACAAACUCAACACUACGGACUCUGAAACUGAAAUAUGCAAAGGCUAUGGCGCGGAUAGGUUGUAGGACAUGAAAACAAUAUGGCACUAGACUUAUUGGAAGAACACAAGGACACUCGAAACUAAAGGUAGAUGUGAACCUAACGGUAUGUCUGAAGCUUUGAUUACCACUUGAGGAGAACAAGUGUGGCCCUAUCUUCCGAAAGGUUCUGGUAACUUUCGAUUUGGUGGAAACUGAGACACAAAUCAAUCCAGCUUGCGAACAACAGGAUUCGAAACCCUACAUUUCUUUUUAUUUUUUUUGAUAUUUUUCUUUUACUUAGGAGCACCUAGGAAGUAACCAUAGGAAAUUUGAGCUUAAACAAGUGAAAGACGUGGCUUGUGGAAAUUUUUGAAGAUUGUGAA
RNAcentral lists this long non-coding RNA (510 nucleotides) under Sorghum bicolor (sorghum). Its description in RNAcentral is "long non-coding RNA (SBIC_LNC010520)". The record is from RNAcentral. Lineage: Eukaryota; Viridiplantae; Streptophyta; Magnoliopsida; Poales; Poaceae.